RNAcentral lists this ribosomal RNA (492 nucleotides) under uncultured bacterium. RNAcentral describes it as "partial 16S ribosomal RNA". It matches the Rfam family "Bacterial small subunit ribosomal RNA", at positions 29 to 507 of the family's 1533-position model. The record is from RNAcentral.
AGUGAACGCUGGCGGUAGGCCUAACACAUGCAAGUCGAACGGCAGCACAGUAAGAGCUUGCUCUUACGGGCGGCGAGUGGCGGACGGGUGCGGAAUACAUCGGAAACUACUUUUUAGGGGGGGAUAACGUAGGGAAACUUACUCUAAUACCGCAUACGACCUACGGGUGAAAGCAGGGGAUCUUCUGACCUUGCGCGAGUGAAUGAGCCGAUGUCGGAUUAGCUAGUUGGCGGGGUAAAGGCCCACCAAGGCGACGAUCCGUAGCGGGUCUGAGAGGAUGAUCAGCCACACUGGAACUGAGACACGGUCCACACUCCUGCGCGAGGCAGCAGUGGGGAAUAUUGGACAAUGGGCGCAAGCCUGAUCCAGCCAUACCGCGUGGGUCAAGAAGGCCUUCGGCUUCUAAAGCCCUUUUGUUGGGAAAGAAAAGCAGCAGGUUAAUACCCCGCUGUUCUGACGGUACCCAAAGAAUAAGCACCGGCUAACUUCGUG